This 506-nucleotide ribosomal RNA is filed under the name uncultured bacterium. RNAcentral's name for it is "partial 16S ribosomal RNA". It matches the Rfam family "Bacterial small subunit ribosomal RNA", at positions 29 to 523 of the family's 1533-position model. The record is from RNAcentral.
AGUGAACGCUGGCGGUAGGCCUAACACAUGCAAGUCGAACGGCAGCACAGGAGAGCUUGCUCUCUGGGUGGCGAGUGGCGGACGGGUGAGGAAUACAUCGGAAUCUACCUUUUCGUGGGGGAUAACGUAGGGAAACUUACGCUAAUACCGCAUACGACCUACGGGUGAAAGUGGGGGACCGCAAGGCCUCACGCGAUUAGAUGAGCCGAUGUCCGAUUAGCUAGUUGGCGGGGUAAUGGCCCACCAAGGCGACGAUCGGUAGCUGGUCUGAGGGGAUGAUCAGCCAAACUGGAACUGAGACACGGUCCAGACUCCUACGGGAGGAAGCAGUGGGGAAUAUUGGACGAUGGGCGCAAGCCUGAUCCAGCCAUACCGCGUGGGUGAAGAAGGCCUUCGGGUUGUAAAGCCCUUUUGUUGGGAAAGAAAUCCUAUCGGUUAAUAACCGGUGGGGAUGACGGUACCCAAAGAAUAAGCACCGGCUAACUUCGUGCCAGCCGCCGCGGUAA